UGUAGCGGUGAAAUGCGUAGAUAUCAGAGGAAUACCAGUGGCGAAGGCGGCUUUCUGGUUCGGAAUUGACGCUGAUGUACUAAAGCGUGGGUAGCAAACAGGAUUAGAUACCCUGGUAGUCCACGCCUUAAACUAUGGAUACUUGAUGUCGGGGCGUUCGGUCGACCCGGUGUCGUAGCUAACGUGUUAAGUAUCCCGCCUGGGGACUACGGUCGCAAGACUGAAACUCAAAGGAAUUGACGGGGGCCCGCACCAGCGGUGGAACAUGUGGUUUAAUUCGAUGCAACGCGAAGAACCUUACCUGGGCUUGACAUAUAUAUGAGGUAUGUAAGAAAUUAUGUAUUUUGGUCUCUUUUGAGAUUAACAUAUAUACAGGUGAUGCGUGGCUGUCGUCAGCUCGUGUCGUGAGAUGUAGGGUUAAGUCCCUUAACGAGCGCAACCCUUGCUUUUAGUUGCCAUCAGGUAAUGCUGGGGACUCUAGAAGGACUGCCGAGGUUAACUCGGAGGAAGGUGGGGAUGACGUCAAGUCAGUAUGUCCCUUAUGUCCAGGGCUACACACGUGUUACAAUGGUCGGUACAGAGUGACGCUAAUCCACGAGGUGGAGCCAAUCACUUAAAGCCGAUCCCAGUUCGGAUUGGAGUCUACAAUUCGACUCCAUGAAGUUGGAAUCGCGUAGUAAUCGCAGAACAGCAUNCUGCGG
This 701-nucleotide ribosomal RNA is filed under the name uncultured bacterium. Its description in RNAcentral is "bacterial SSU rRNA". It matches the Rfam family "Bacterial small subunit ribosomal RNA", at positions 674 to 1362 of the family's 1533-position model. The record is from RNAcentral.